UCCUGGUGGUGGCACGAUCAGAGACUCUCACUCUUUCCCCUUCUCGGUCUAUAUAAGAAUUUAGGCAUAAGCCCAAAGCCAUCUCAAAUCAAAGGCAAACUUUGGAAGACAAGGAAAUCAUGGCAAUCAACAAGAUUGGUGCAAUGGCUAUUCUUUUUUGUGGGAUGAUCCUUCUGGGAGCAAAUGUGGAGGUCACGGCCGUCAGGCCCGGGCCGGAGCAGAUUUGCCCACUCUAUUGCAUAGUUGGGAUCGAGUACGUGGACUGUGAUGGAGAGAAGACCUACACAGACUGCACCAAUUGCUGCUUCGAGAACGGCUGCACUCUUCACUUUAAAGAUGGAACUUCAUACUUUUGUACUUGGCCGGCUAAGCAAGAAUUGGGGUUUGGUAAAGGAGUUUACAAGAUAUAGUACUCUAAACGAGUACUAAAUGACGGGUAUAAUAUUAAUAUACGCCCUUUUUAGUAUGUAUUUCGGUUUCCUCGAGGGUGGGAUAUAACCAUGCCAAGUAAUAUAUCAGUACCGACAGUACGUGCUUCAUGAGAUAGUGAAUCAUGAUGUUCAAUAAAAUGAGUACUUUUCUUAACAGAA
Molecule: long non-coding RNA, 590 nt
Organism: Coffea arabica (coffee)
Lineage: Eukaryota; Viridiplantae; Streptophyta; Magnoliopsida; Gentianales; Rubiaceae
Source: RefSeq, a predicted model, not a curated record